GACGAACGCUGGCGGCGUGCUUAACACAUGCGAGUCGAACGGAAAGGCCCUGCUUUUGUGGGGUGCUCGAGUGGCGAACGGGUGAGUAACACGUGAGUAACCUGCCCUUGACUUUGGGAUAACUUCAGGAAACUGGGGCUAAUACCGGAUAGGAGCUCCUGCUGCAUUGUGGGGGUUGGAAAGUUUCGGCGGUUGGGGAUGGACUCGCGGCUUAUCAGCUUGUUGGUGGGGUAGUGGCUUACCAAGGCUUUGACGGGUAGCCGGCCUGAGAGGGUGACCGGCCACAUUGGGACUGAGAUACGGCCCAGACUCCUACGGGAGGCAGCAGUGGGGAAUAUUGCACAAUGGGCGGAAGCCUGAUGCAGCAACGCCGCGUGCGGGAUGACGGCCUUCGGGUUGUAAACCGCUUUCGCCUGUGACGAAGCGUGAGUGACGGUAAUGGGUAAAGAAGCACCGGCUAACUACGUG
Molecule: ribosomal RNA, 468 nt
Filed under: uncultured bacterium
Lineage: Bacteria
Description: partial 16S ribosomal RNA
Rfam family: Bacterial small subunit ribosomal RNA
Source: RNAcentral